GCGCGUGUAGCUCAACUGGCAGAGCACUGGUCUCCAAAACCAGCGGUUGAGGGUUCGACUCCUUCCGCGCGUGCCA
This 76-nucleotide transfer RNA is filed under the name Acidovorax sp. Leaf78. RNAcentral describes it as "tRNA-Trp". It matches the Rfam family "tRNA". From Rfam's summary of the family: Transfer RNA (tRNA) molecules are approximately 80 nucleotides in length. Their secondary structure includes four short double-helical elements and three loops (D, anti-codon, and T loops). Further hydrogen bonds mediate the characteristic L-shaped molecular structure. tRNAs have two regions of fundamental functional importance: the anti-codon, which is responsible for specific mRNA codon recognition, and the 3' end, to which the tRNAs corresponding amino acid is attached (by aminoacyl-tRNA synthetases). tRNAs cope with the degeneracy of the genetic code in two manners: having more than one tRNA (with a specific anti-codon) for a particular amino acid; and 'wobble' base-pairing, i.e. permitting non-standard base-pairing at the 3rd anti-codon position. RNAcentral also lists the same sequence under 1 other name. The record is from RNAcentral. Lineage: Bacteria; Pseudomonadati; Pseudomonadota; Betaproteobacteria; Burkholderiales; Comamonadaceae.